GGCAAAGAGGAAAGGAUGGGGAAGGGGUAACGACGACGAAGGGUUGGAUGGAGCUUGAGGAUGAGAAUGGCCACUAGGAAAAGACAAAGAUGAAACAAGAAAAUUGAACCCUAUACUUGAAUCAAAGACACUAUCGUGUAAUAGGCCUGUGUUGGGCCACACGGCCGUAUUUUAAGGCUAUGUAAAACUUUACAGCCCGUGUUAACAUGAUAAAUGGAAAAAAUAUUCCUAAUUUCUACAUGGCUAUGUGCGAUGGUCCUUCGCUUCUCCCACUUCUAUGUGCG
This 284-nucleotide long non-coding RNA is filed under the name Gossypium barbadense (sea-island cotton). Its description in RNAcentral is "long non-coding RNA (GBAR_LNC022480)". Lineage: Eukaryota; Viridiplantae; Streptophyta; Magnoliopsida; Malvales; Malvaceae. The record is from RNAcentral.